AGUAAAAUAGGAUAAAUGUUAAUCUAGGAGGUUCAUACCCUUUUGAUACUGAAAAGUUUUUACUA
RNAcentral lists this transfer RNA (65 nucleotides) under Hammerschmidtiella sp. ZengetLiu-2016. Its description in RNAcentral is "tRNA-Met". Lineage: Eukaryota; Metazoa; Nematoda; Chromadorea; Rhabditida; Thelastomatidae. The record is from RNAcentral.